GUGAAUCAUCAAAUCUUUGAACGCAAAUUGCGCCUUUUGCGAAAGGCAUGUCUGUUUGAGUGCACCAUUUAACAAAUAAUGUGCAGCGGUUUUUGUGGCACACGUUGAUGAGCUUUCCAAGAAUUUUAAAUUUUUGGUUGCGCAUAAUGAACAGCGUGAAUCUUUUUUUUCAGUUCGAGUGUAGUAAAAGCUUUGCUUGGGUUGUAAAAAGCGUA
This 215-nucleotide unclassified non-coding RNA is filed under the name Paraglomerales sp. RNAcentral describes it as "partial contains 5.8S ribosomal RNA and internal transcribed spacer 2". The stretch from base 1 to 65 matches the Rfam family "5.8S ribosomal RNA", at positions 84 to 154 of the family's 154-position model. Lineage: Eukaryota; Fungi; Glomeromycota; Glomeromycetes; Paraglomerales. The record is from RNAcentral.